AGUUAAAAUUUUUAAUUAUUUCUAUUAUUAAAAACCGGUGUGGUUAACAAAAUAAUUAGAUAAUUACAUAUAGUAUGUCACGUGUACCUCAUGUUGAUGUAAAAUGACCAAUUUUUAACAGUAAAAAUAGAUAAAAGUUUUAAUA
Non-coding RNA from Gossypium raimondii (Peruvian cotton), 145 nucleotides. The record is from Rfam. NCBI's taxonomy places the organism in Eukaryota, Viridiplantae, Streptophyta, Magnoliopsida, Malvales, Malvaceae.